Molecule: ribosomal RNA, 1005 nt
Filed under: Conidiobolus pseudapiculatus
Lineage: Eukaryota; Fungi; Entomophthoromycota; Entomophthoromycetes; Entomophthorales; Conidiobolaceae
Description: eukaryotic LSU rRNA
Rfam family: Eukaryotic large subunit ribosomal RNA
Source: RNAcentral
UAGGAUUCCAUUAGUAACGGCGAGUGAAGCUGGAAUAGUCCGAACUUUAAAAGAGAUAUUGUUGCUCUGAUGUAGUUCCAAGACCAUACUCGGUACCGGGCUUUCUUAUCAUCUAAGUUGACACGGACUUGUCCGACAGAGAGGGUGAAAUUCCCGUCUAGAUGUAUAAUUGUAAGCUUCCAAACUGAUUGAUCUAAGAGUCGAGUUGCUUGGGAUUGCAGCUUUAAGAUGGAGGUAAAUUCCUUCAAAGACUAAAUAAAGUUGGAUAACCGAUAGCGAACAAGUACCGUGAGGGAAAGUUGAAAAGAACCCCGGAAGGGGGAUCAAAAGAACGUGAAAUUGUACAGAGGGAAACGCUUGGACGCCCCGUAUUCGCAAGUGUUAAUCUCUCAAGUUUUACUGGGACAAAGAUUACACUUGGAGAAGCCAUCGCUUUAAGAUUUAAUGCGUGUUGCGAGUAGGAACUAUCAAGUUACAAACGAGAUUUAGGUUUACGCAAGUUUACCUAAUAUCCUCCUUGGCCUUCAGUUAGUUUUCCCACGUAUAAGUCGGCGGUAAAGGAUGUUGGAGUUAGUCUUUUAUGAGAUCGAAAGUUGCAAGCUGCGAUACGGCCUUUUUUAUAUUGGUUUUUAAGUGUUUAGCUACCUUCUUACGAAGACCUGUGUCUCAAAUAAAAGCACCCAUCUUACAAUAUGGCUAAGCAGCGGUCAAGCGACCCGUCUUGAAACACGGACCAAGGAGUCUAACAUGUUAGCAAGUCUUAGGGCCUAGUAACCCCUCUGGCGAAAUGAAAGUGAUUAGAGAUCCGAUUCCGACGCGAUUGGAUGCAGGAUUAGCCAAACUCCAUUAACAAUAGUUGUAGGGUUUGCGCAAGAGCAAAUAUGUUGGGACCCGAAAGAUGGUGAACUAUGCCUGAAUAGGGUGAAGUCAGGGGAAACUCUGAUGGAAGCUCGUAGCGAUUCUGACGUGCAAAUCGAUCGUCAAAUUUGGGUAUAGGGGCGAAAG